This 390-nucleotide ribosomal RNA is filed under the name uncultured soil bacterium. Its description in RNAcentral is "bacterial SSU rRNA". It matches the Rfam family "Bacterial small subunit ribosomal RNA", at positions 94 to 527 of the family's 1533-position model. The record is from RNAcentral.
AGUGGCGCACGGGUGAGUAACACGUGGAUUAUCUACCUUUUAGUGGGGAAUACCUCUGGGAAACCGGAGACAAUACCGCAUAAGCGAAAGGAAAGCCGCGCUGAAAGAGGAGUCCGCGGCUGAUUAGCUAGAUGGCGGGGUAAUGGCCCACCAUGGCGACGAUCGGUAGCCGGCCUGAGAGGGCACACGGCCACACUGGCACUGAAACACGGGCCAGACUCCUACGGGAGGCAGCAGUGGGGAAUCUUGCACAAUGGGCGAAAGCCUGAUGCAGCGACGCCGCGUGAGCGAUGAAGCCCUUCGGGGUGUAAAGCUCUUUCGACGGGGACGAUUGACGGUACCCGGAGAAGAAGCUGCGGCUAACUACGUGCCAGCAGCCGCGGUAAUACG